GGCAAGAUGGCCGAGUUGGUCCAAGGCGUGAGGUUAAGGUCCACCUUAAUACCUAGCUUAAAGCUUCCUCAUCAUCAUCUGAUGGCGUGGGUUCGAAUCCCACUCUUGUCA
RNAcentral lists this transfer RNA (111 nucleotides) under Aspergillus wentii. Its description in RNAcentral is "tRNA-Leu". It matches the Rfam family "tRNA". From Rfam's summary of the family: Transfer RNA (tRNA) molecules are approximately 80 nucleotides in length. Lineage: Eukaryota; Fungi; Ascomycota; Eurotiomycetes; Eurotiales; Aspergillaceae. RNAcentral also lists the same sequence under 1 other name. The record is from RNAcentral.